UACGUAGGGUGCAAGCGUUGUCCGGAAUUAUUGGGCGUAAAGAGCUCGUAGGCGGUUCGUCGCGUCGGCUGUGAAAUCCCGAGGCUCAACCUCGGGUCUGCAGUCGAUACGGGCGGACUGGAGUUCGGCAGGGGAGACUGGAAUUCCUGGUGUAGCGGUGAAAUGCGCAGAUAUCAGGAGGAACACCGGUGGCGAAGGCGGGUCUCUGGGCCGAUACUGACGCUAAGGAGCGAAAGCGUGGGGAGCGAACAGG
This 253-nucleotide ribosomal RNA is filed under the name uncultured bacterium. RNAcentral describes it as "partial 16S ribosomal RNA". It matches the Rfam family "Bacterial small subunit ribosomal RNA", at positions 524 to 776 of the family's 1533-position model. The record is from RNAcentral.